AUUGAACGCUGGCGGCAUGCUUAACGCAUGCAAGUCGAGCGGGGUGAUGGUGCUUGCACUAUCACUUAGCGGCGGACGGGUGAGUAAUGCUUAGGAAUCUGCCUAUUAGUGGGGGACAGCAUCUCGAAAGGGAUGCUAAUACCGCAUACGUCCUACGGGAGAAAGCAGGGGAUCACCUGUGACCUUGCGCUAAUAGAUGAGCCUAAGUCGGAUUAGCUAGUUGGUGGGGUAAAGGCCUACCAAGGCGACGAUCUGUAGCGGGUAUGAGAGGAUGAUCCGCCACACUGGGACCGGGACACGGCCCAGACUCCUACGGGAGGCAGCAGUGGGGAAUAUUGGACAAUGGGCGGAAGCCUGAUCCAGCCAUGCCGCGUGUGUGAAGAAGGCCUUUUGGUUGUAAAGCACUUUAAGCGAGGAGGAGGCUACUUAGAUUAAUACUCUGGGAUAGUGGACGUUACUCGCAGAAUAAGCACCGGCUAACUCUGUGCCAGCCGCCGCCGUAA
RNAcentral lists this ribosomal RNA (503 nucleotides) under uncultured bacterium. RNAcentral describes it as "partial 16S ribosomal RNA". It matches the Rfam family "Bacterial small subunit ribosomal RNA", at positions 30 to 523 of the family's 1533-position model. The record is from RNAcentral.